GGAAGCUGAGCUCGGAACUUGUUGCUGGAGGUGGACAUGAUACGUGCUGGGAACGCAGCUUUGUCGGUCAAAUCAGGUUGUGGAAAUCCACCUGCCUGUCUUCCCUGCCACCUCUUGAUGAAUGACCCGGACCCCACCCUGCCACAUUAAGUGUACCGGCUAUCUUCUCAGACUCCACCCGUGAAGCACCAGGAGAAAAGGCAUUCCCAGGUCCGAGGGGGCGGCGACGUUUUCCACCAGGACGUCCCGACAAGAGAUGAGGUCAGCUAUGAUGAAUUUGAUUUGAUGUCACGCAAAAAAAAAAAAAAAAGUGCCGGCGAUGCUUUUUGAAGGUGACCUCCCCCUCGCUAACCCUCCCUGGCAGAGUUAAUUAAAGACGGAGGCGGCUCGGGGUGAAAGUACUGUGGGAAUGAUCUGAUCCUAUGGAUGAUUUUUUUGUGAGUUAAUCAUUGACUUUGCCUGAAACAACGAACGAAUGCGAAAUUCACCCUGCUUAUUUGCAACCUCGAGUGACAAAUCAGUUAGUUCAUUUCAUACCCACUUGCAUGCUCGGCAGAAUUGAUGGGGUGCAAUUAUUAGUGACCGAUAUUAUGUCAUAUGUGAGUGAGAUCUUGUCAUUGUACGUCACGAGACGUUUCAUCAUAUUUUUUUAUGGCCACUUGUUGCUCGUCAGAAUUGACGGGGCACGAUUAUUGUUGCCCCGAAGAGGAACCAAAAAAUACACAGCAGUCAGGCGUACGGAUAUUUUUUUUACAUUUUAUUCAUUUAUUUAUUUAUUUAAUGUGAUGAGUUGGCACUUGUUGCUAGGCAGAAUUGAUCGGGCACAAUUGUUUGUGACCCCACCCCCAAAAAUUGGCAUACUGGAAUCAGGCAUUUAAAAAAAAAAAAUUAUGUUUCCCAGUUAGGUCAUAUUUUUGUAUGGCCGCUUGUUGCUAGACAGAUUUGGAUGGGGCACAAUAAUUUGUGACCCAAAGACAAACUGGGGGAAAAAAAACGUAUUCAUAUGUCAGAUUUGUGACUAGGUAGAAUUUGUGGCAGGCAAUUUGCGGAAGCUUCCCCAUAUUGGCAUUAUAAGGCUAAUUUGCCCACAACUCAACCUGAAAAUUAUUUUGAAUGAGCAAACUUUCAUGAUUUAUGACUCCCUCUGUCGUACCUGAAGGGGCACUGCCCCAAUUUCCGCUAAAUGCUAGUUGUUCAGACCCAAGUCGUCGCGCCAAGCAAGUCAUAAGCAAAAGUGCUUGUGCAUUCUUAUCUUCAGUGGUGAGUCUCUCUUAGCCACCGCUAAUUGCUAACUCUAGUCCCCCCCCCCCCUCCCGCCUCCCGCACCCCCCUCCAGCGUGUUUUGGCAGCGCGUCGGCGAGCUUUUUUGGCCGCCCUUCCAUGUUUUCCACCGUUGUUUCCUGGAGUCCUGAAUGGGAUGGGUCGUUUGCGAAAUGACAGGACACGCCAACAAAUUGCAUCACUUCUGGCUCAGCAGCUGAGG
Molecule: long non-coding RNA, 1483 nt
Organism: Hippocampus comes (tiger tail seahorse)
Lineage: Eukaryota; Metazoa; Chordata; Actinopteri; Syngnathiformes; Syngnathidae
Exons: 3
Source: RefSeq, a predicted model, not a curated record